Molecule: ribosomal RNA, 256 nt
Filed under: uncultured bacterium
Lineage: Bacteria
Description: partial 16S ribosomal RNA
Rfam family: Bacterial small subunit ribosomal RNA
Source: RNAcentral
CAGCCAAGUCGUGAGGCGGAGCUAAUCCCUUAAAGCCAUUCUCAGUUCGGAUUGUAGGCUGAAACUCGCCUACAUGAAGCUGGAGUUACUAGUAAUCGCAGAUCAGAAUGCUGCGGUGAAUGCGUUCCCGGGUCUUGUACACACCGCCCGUCACACCACGGAAGUUGGGGGCGCCUGAAGCCACUUAGCUAACCCUUUUGGGAAGCGAGUGUCGAAGGUGAAAUCAAUAACUGGGGUGAAGUCGUAACAAGGUACC